GACAGAGGCCCCGAGCGUUAGGCGGAAUCACUGGGCUUAAAGCGUGUGUAGGCGGCGGCCUAAGUACCUUGUGAAAUCCCACGGCUCACCCGUGGAACUGCUCGGUAUACUGGGUCGCUUGAGCCACUUAGGGGCUACCGGAACAAAUGGUGGAGCGGUGAAAUGCGUAGAUAUCAUUUGGAACGCCAAUGGUGAAAACAGGUAGCUGGGAGUGUGCUGACGCUGAGACACGAAAGCCAGGGGAGCAAACGGG
Molecule: ribosomal RNA, 253 nt
Filed under: uncultured bacterium
Lineage: Bacteria
Description: partial 16S ribosomal RNA
Rfam family: Bacterial small subunit ribosomal RNA
Source: RNAcentral